This 494-nucleotide ribosomal RNA is filed under the name uncultured bacterium. RNAcentral's name for it is "partial 16S ribosomal RNA". It matches the Rfam family "Bacterial small subunit ribosomal RNA", at positions 28 to 507 of the family's 1533-position model. The record is from RNAcentral.
GACGAACGCUGACGGCGUGCUUAACACAUGCAAGUCGAACGGUGAAGCGCCUUCCUUUUUGGUGGGUGUGGAUGAGUGGCGAACGGGUGAGUAACACGUGAGUAACCUGCCCCCUUCUUCUGGAUAACCGCAUGAAAGUGUGGCUAAUACGGGAUAUUCUGGGUCUGUCGCAUGAUGGGUCUGGGAAAGAUAUUGUUUCGGUGGGGGAUGGGCUCGCGGCCUAUCAGCUUGUUGGUGGGGUGAUGGCCUACCAAGGCGGUGACGGGUAGCCGGCCUGAGAGGGUGGACGGUCACACUGGGACUGAGACACGGCCCAGACUCCUACGGGAGGCAGCAGUGGGGAAUAUUGCACAAUGGGCGCAAGCCUGAUGCAGCGACGCCGCGGGAGGGAUGGAGGCCUUCGGGUUGUGAACCUCUUUCGCCAGUGAAGCAGGCCUGCCUCGUUUGUGGGUGGGUUGACGGUAGCUGGAUAAGAAGCGCCGGCUAACUACGUG